RNAcentral lists this ribosomal RNA (197 nucleotides) under uncultured crenarchaeote. RNAcentral's name for it is "partial 16S ribosomal RNA". It matches the Rfam family "Archaeal small subunit ribosomal RNA", at positions 274 to 473 of the family's 1478-position model. The record is from RNAcentral. Lineage: Archaea; Thermoproteati; Thermoproteota.
CGAUGGAAGUCGGAGCCCAGAGUCGGCUACUGAGACAAGGAGCCGAGCUUUACGAAGCUUAGCGGUCGCGAAAACUCGCCAAUGCACGAAAGUGUGAGUGGGCUACUCCAAGUGUCAUUCUUACGGAUGACUGUCGCACAGUCUUACCAGCUGUGAAAGGAAGGAGAGGGCAAGGCUGGUGCCAGCCGCCGCGGUAA